Molecule: long non-coding RNA, 290 nt
Organism: Phacochoerus africanus (Common warthog)
Lineage: Eukaryota; Metazoa; Chordata; Mammalia; Artiodactyla; Suidae
Exons: 3
Source: RefSeq, a predicted model, not a curated record
AUCACCAUGGCCAUUUGCCAAAAGUGCCUAGCGGGAACCUGUUUGGGCUAGGUCAUCACCGUCCCUUUUCUGGAACGCUAGAUUGAAGAAUAAAGUACAUCGACCUGAAAAUAGAAACCUAGGGCGGAGACAGAGAGAACCUCAGGAAAGGUAAAUCGUUAAACACCACCAAGCCAUUAACAUGGGGUCUCAGCUCUAUGGGGCCCUUGCCCUUGAACAACUAAAUGUUUUAUUGAAGAUGAAGUAUACCUGCAUGAAAAAGCAGCAUUUGGAAGUUCCUGGGCUAGAGG